AGAGUUUGAUCAUGGCUCAGAGUGAACGCUGGCGGCGUGCCUAACACAUGCAAGUCGAACGAGAACGGAUAUAAGUUUACUUAUAUUGUCAGCUAAGUGGCGCACGGGUGAGUAAUAUAUAGUUAAUCUGCCCUGAAGAAGAGAAUAAUUGUUGGAAACGACUUGUAAUGCUCUAUAUGCCUUUAUCACAUAAGUGAGCAAGGGAAAUAUUUAUAGCUUCGGGAUGAGACUGUACGGUAUCAGCUAGUUGGUGAGGUAAUGGCUCACCAAGGCUAUGACAUCUAACUGGUUUGAGAGGAUGAUCAGUCACACUGGAACUGAGACACGGUCCAGACUCCUACGGGAGGCAGCAGUGGGGAAUAUUGCGCAAUGGAGGAAACUCUGAUGCAGCAACGCCGCGUGGAGGAUGACACAUUUCGGUGCGUAAACUCCUUUUAUUAGGGAAGAUAAUGACGGUACCUAAUGAAUAAGCACCGGCUAACUCCGUGCCAGCAGCCGCGGUAAUACGGGGGGUGCAAGCGUUACUCGGAAUCACUGGGCGUAAAGAGCAUGUAGGCUGAUUAGUAAGUUGGAAGUGAAAUCCUAUGGCUCAA
This 593-nucleotide ribosomal RNA is filed under the name uncultured bacterium. Its description in RNAcentral is "bacterial SSU rRNA". It matches the Rfam family "Bacterial small subunit ribosomal RNA", at positions 8 to 612 of the family's 1533-position model. The record is from RNAcentral.